Molecule: non-coding RNA, 98 nt
Filed under: Otolemur garnettii (small-eared galago)
Lineage: Eukaryota; Metazoa; Chordata; Mammalia; Primates; Galagidae
Source: RNAcentral
AGCUGAUCCAAGUACAGUAAUGUUUGCAACUAAUUGAUCACAAACAUUUACAGAUUUCUUUGUUCCUUCUCCACUCCCACUGCUUCACUUGACCUAAA